Molecule: long non-coding RNA, 273 nt
Organism: Propithecus coquereli (Coquerel's sifaka)
Lineage: Eukaryota; Metazoa; Chordata; Mammalia; Primates; Indriidae
Exons: 2
Source: RefSeq, a predicted model, not a curated record
GGCUCUGAACCAAGUUGUCCUAUGGGACAAGAUCGUUCUAAGAGGUGAUAAUCCGAAGCUACUGCUGAAAGAUAUGAAAACAAAAUAUUUUUUCUUUGACGAUGGAAAUGGUCUCAAGGGAAACAGGAAUGUCACUUUGACCCUGUCUUGGAACGUUGUACCAAAUGCUGGAAUUCUACCUCUGGUGACAGGAUCAGGACACGUAUCUGUUCCAUUUCCAGAUACAUAUGAAAUAACGAAGAGUUAUUAAAUUAUUCUGAAUUUGAAACAACA